RNAcentral lists this ribosomal RNA (377 nucleotides) under uncultured bacterium. RNAcentral's name for it is "bacterial SSU rRNA". It matches the Rfam family "Bacterial small subunit ribosomal RNA", at positions 362 to 757 of the family's 1533-position model. The record is from RNAcentral.
UAUUGGACAAUGGGCGCAAGCCUGAUCCAGCCAUGCCGCGUGGAUGAUGAAGGCCCUAGGGUUGUAAAGUCCUUUCGGCGGGGAAGAUAAUGACGGUACCCGCAGAAGAAGCCACGGCUAACUUCGUGCCAGCAGCCGCGGUAAUACGAAGGGGGCUAGCGUUGCUCGGAAUCACUGGGCGUAAAGCGCACGUAGGCGGACUCUUAAGUCGGUGGUGAAAUCCUGGAGCUCAACUCCAGAACUGCCUUCGAUACUGAGAGUCUCGAGUCCGGGAGAGGUGAGUGGAACUGCGAGUGUAGAGGUGAAAUUCGUAGAUAUUCGCAAGAACACCAGUGGCGAAGGCGGCUCACUGGCCCGGUACUGACGCUGAGUGCGAA